GCCUCUAAUUUCUUUUUAGUUUUUAAUUAUAUAUAUAUAAAUAUAUUUAUAAAUGCAUAAGUGUAUAUAGAUAGAUGCUUAGCCCAUUAAUUUUCAGCCUUACCUAAGGCUAUACAUUUUCCUCCAAGUACUGCUUUAGCUGCACCCCAAAAGUACUGAUUCACUCAAAAUACUU
Sapajus apella (tufted capuchin) is the source of this 175-nucleotide long non-coding RNA. RefSeq lists it as uncharacterized. The transcript has 2 exons. NCBI's taxonomy places the organism in Eukaryota, Metazoa, Chordata, Mammalia, Primates, Cebidae. The record is from RefSeq and is a predicted model, not a curated record.